This 75-nucleotide transfer RNA is filed under the name Methanobacteriota archaeon. Its description in RNAcentral is "tRNA-Val". It matches the Rfam family "tRNA". Rfam says of the family: Transfer RNA (tRNA) molecules are approximately 80 nucleotides in length. Their secondary structure includes four short double-helical elements and three loops (D, anti-codon, and T loops). Lineage: Archaea; Methanobacteriati; Methanobacteriota. The record is from RNAcentral.
GGGCCCGUGGUCUAGCCCGGCCAUGACGUCCCCUUGACGAGGGGAAGGUCCCCGGUUCAAAUCCGGGCGGGCCCA